This 500-nucleotide ribosomal RNA is filed under the name uncultured Glomus. RNAcentral describes it as "SSU rRNA". It matches the Rfam family "Eukaryotic small subunit ribosomal RNA", at positions 591 to 1092 of the family's 1831-position model. Lineage: Eukaryota; Fungi; Glomeromycota; Glomeromycetes; Glomerales; Glomeraceae. The record is from RNAcentral.
CCAAUAGCGUAUAUUAAAGUUGUUGCAGUUAAAAAGCUCGUAGUUGAAUUUCGGGGUUAGUAGGUUGGUCAUGCCUCUGGUAUGUACUGGUCUCACUGAUUCCUCCUUCCUGAUGAACCUUAAUGCCAUUUAUUUGGUGUUUUGGGGAAUUUGGACUGUUACUUUGAAAAAAUUAGAGUGUUUAAAGCAAGCUAACGCUUGAAUACAUUAGCAUGGAAUAAUGAAAUAGGACGUUCGAUCCUAUUUUGUUGGUUUCUAGGAUUGACGUAAUGAUUAAUAGGGAUAGUUGGGGGCAUUAGUAUUCAAUUGUCAGAGGUGAAAUUCUUGGAUUUAUUGAAGACUAACUACUGCGAAAGCAUUUGCCAAGGAUGUUUUCAUUAAUCAAGAACGAAAGUUAGGGGAUCGAAGACGAUCAGAUACCGUCGUAGUCUUAACCAUAAACUAUGCCGACUAGGGAUCGGAUGAUGUUAAUUUUAUAAUGACUCAUUCGGCACCUUACG